CUGAGUGAGGGCCCCUCGGGGUCCAACCUCCCACCCGUGUUUAACGAACCUUGUUGCUUCGGCGGGCCCGCCUCACGGCCGCCGGGGGGCAUCUGCCCCCGGGCCCGCGCCCGCCGAAGCCACCUGUGAACGCUGUCUGAAGUAUGCAGUCUGAGUAUUAUUUUAAUACGUUA
This 173-nucleotide unclassified non-coding RNA is filed under the name uncultured fungus. RNAcentral describes it as "sequence contains ITS1, 5.8S rRNA gene". The record is from RNAcentral. Lineage: Eukaryota; Fungi.